GUAGCUAGACAAAAAGAAGUGAAAUAUUAUUAAUAGUAGAAAGAUGGAAUAUGUAUACUAUUGAAGGUAGGAAAUGGUUUUGAGGUUUAAAAUAAUUAUCACUGUCAAUGAUAACUCUAUAGAAUAUUAAACAAAUAAUUGCUGAUGUUCUAACCAAACUUCUGAGUUGAGUUAAUCGGAUCGGGUCUUUAUGAGGUGAGUUUCGAGAAUUUCGUAGUUCAUCAAUAGUAAAUUCAGAUUCAAAAAAAAAAAAAAAAAAAAAA
This 263-nucleotide long non-coding RNA is filed under the name Jatropha curcas. RNAcentral's name for it is "long non-coding RNA (JCUR_LNC003503)". The record is from RNAcentral. Lineage: Eukaryota; Viridiplantae; Streptophyta; Magnoliopsida; Malpighiales; Euphorbiaceae.